This is an RNA transcript of Heterocephalus glaber (naked mole-rat), 20748 nucleotides long. It is a transcript of the gene named polypeptide N-acetylgalactosaminyltransferase 12, with no coding region annotated. Lineage: Eukaryota; Metazoa; Chordata; Mammalia; Rodentia; Bathyergidae. The record is from RefSeq and is a predicted model, not a curated record.
GGCCGCCGCGCCACGGGGCGCGCUGACCGCUGGCGGCAGCUGGCGGGCGCAUGUUGGGGCUCGCGACGAGACGGCACUGCCCGAGGAGGCUGCGGCGCGGCCGAGGGGCGCUGCUGGCGCUGCUGGCCCUGCUCACGCUGGCAGGGCUGGGCGCGGUGCUGAAGACUCAGCGUGGGGCCGGGGCCGCUCGGCAGGAACCCCCGCGCGCUUCGCGCCCCGGACGCCUGGAGCCGGUGCUACAGCGGCCGCCGGUUCCCCCAGAUGCGCUGGGAGCGCAGGGCGAGGCGGUGCGGCUGCAGCUGCAGGGCGAGGAUCUUCUGCUGCAGGAAGAGAGCGUGCGGCUGCACCAGAUCAACACCUACCUCAGCGACCGCAUCUCGCUGCACCGCCGCCUGCCCGAGCGCUGGAACCCGCUGUGCAAAGAGAAGAAAUAUGAUUAUGAAAAUUUGCCCACAACAUCUGUUAUCAUAGCAUUUUAUAAUGAAGCCUGGUCAACUCUCCUUCGGACGGUGUACAGUGUUCUGGAGACAUCCCCAGACAUCCUGGUGGAAGAAGUUAUACUGGUAGAUGACUACAGUGACAAAGAGCACCUGAAGGAGCGCCUGGCCGAGGAGCUGUCGGCUCUGCCCAAGGUGCGCCUGAUCCGAGCCACCAAGAGGGAGGGCCUGGUGCGGGCCCGGCUGCUGGGGGCUUCUGUGGCCAGGGGUGACGUGCUGACCUUCCUGGACUGUCACUGUGAGUGCCACGAGGGUUGGCUGGAGCCACUGCUGCAGAGGGUCUGCCAUGAUGGUCACCUGCCACCUCUCACCCUCCCAACACACAGCUGGGGACUCUGGAUAAGGGAAGCUGGCUUCUCACACAGGAUCCACGAGAAGGAGUCAGCAGUGGUGUGCCCCGUGAUCGAUGUCAUCGACUGGAACACCUUCGAGUACUUGGGCAACUCUAGGGAGCCCCAGGUUGGCGGCUUCAAUUGGCAGCUAGUGUUCACGUGGCACGUGGUUCCUGAGAGGGACAGGUUGCUGAUGAAGUCCCCCAUCGAUGUCAUCAGGUCUCCAACGAUGGCUGGUGGGCUAUUUGCUGUGAGUAAGAAAUAUUUUGAAUAUCUGGGGUCUUAUGACACAGGAAUGGAAGUUUGGGGAGGAGAAAACCUCGAAUUCUCCUUUAGGAUCUGGCAGUGUGGCGGAACUUUGGAAACACACCCGUGCUCCCAUGUUGGUCAUGUUUUCCCCAAGCAAGCUCCCUACUCCCGCAGCAAGGCCCUGGCCAACAGCGUUCGAGCAGCUGAAGUGUGGAUGGAUGAGUUCAAAGAGCUCUACUACCACCGCACCCCCCGAGCACGCCUGGAGCCCUAUGGGGAUGUGACCGAGAGGAGGCAGCUCCGGGCCAAGCUGCACUGUAAGGACUUCCGGUGGUUCCUGGAGACUGUGUAUCCAGAACUGCACGUACCAGAGGACAGACCUGGCUUCUUCGGGAUGCUCCAGAACAAAGGACUAAAGGAAUACUGCUUUGACUAUAACCCUCCCAAUGAAAACCAGGUUGAGGGACACCAGGUCAUUCUGUAUGCCUGCCAUGGGAUGGGCCAGAACCAGUUUUUUGAAUACACAUCCCAGAAGGAAAUCCGCUAUAACACCCACCAGCCCGAGACCUGUGUAGCCGUGGAAGCAGGAACAGACGUUCUCAUCAUGCAUCUGUGUGAAGACACUGCCCCGGCGGAUCAGAAGUUCCUCCUGCAAGAGGAUGGUUCUUUAUUUCAUGAACAGUCCAAGAAAUGUGUCCAGGCUGUGAGGAAGGAGGUCAGCAACAGUUUCGUCCCGCUUUUACGAGACUGCACCAGCUCGGAUCAUCAGAAAUGGUUCUUCCAGGAACGCAUGCCAUAGACGCUGGGCUCCCAUGGAGAGGCCUAGCAAACACAGGGACCAGAGCCCUCCACAGACUUGGCAGCUCCACUUCUUUACCUUUGUGGCUCUUCUCUGAACUGUGUUCAGUUCAUUCCACCAAGAUGGCCGCUCUAGGGGAGCCCUGGCCAGAAGGAGAGUGGGGCCCAGGUGUACCGACCAGGUGUGACACAGGAGAGGCAGCACAGUAAAACACAUGGAUCACAGAUCCCAGACAGAAGAGGGCAGCAGUCCUGGCAGGAACAACAAGAAGAGGACAGAUGAAAAGAACAUGGCUGCCGGCACAAGAUAAGCCACAAAUACUGUCCAGGUCCCUCUGUGUGUCCAGCACUGAGCCACACAUAUCCAUGGUCAUCUCCCUGAGUCCCCACAAAAGGUCUCACACUCAUCCACAUGGAAACUGAGGUCCAGAGAGAAGUGAGAACAUGCUCAAGGCCACUGAUGGCUGGGACCAGGACUCAGGUACAAGCCCCACGCCAAGACUAUAAUUCACAGCUCACCUUGCACCAGAGGAGGACCUGAAAGGUGAGAGGAGAUCUGGAAGGUGAAGGGAAGCAACAUACAGAUGUUCCUGGAUUUGUGAUGUGGCUUCAUCUUCCAUAUCCAGCCCUCUGUCUGGCACUGUGGAUCCCCAGAUGAUUAAGGCAUGGCAUCUGCUGUGAGAGACAGACAGACAGACAGACAGACAGAUAGGCAGAGAAGAGGAUAAACAACUGCUCUCCCAGUCCAGGUUACAAGAUCACUUUGAAGGUGUUCACAGGGUGAUGGGUGACCCAAAGGAACAGCCAUGACUGUUGUUUGGGAAGCCGUGAGGGAGGAGCAUGGGGCUGCAGUUUGAGUUGGUCCAUGAGGGUGAGUAAAAGUUCUCCAGAGAGAGAUGAUAAGGCAGGGCACUCCAAGUAGAGGAAUUGCUCUACUCUGCUUGCUCAAACCUCAGCACUGUGCAGGAGAUUGUGUGGGGAGCUGAGGGCUCUGUGUGGUGGGUACCCUAUGUGUGGGCCAUCAUGGUCAUGUGGGCUGGGAAAUGGGUUAGGGACUUGCUUUGCUGCAACGUGGCCUGCCAGAGGUCACCUCUCUUCUGAGGAGGGCUGAGCAAGGAAGAGACAACUGCUUUGUGAACACUUUGUGUAUUUAUUUCCUCUGUUUUCCUCACAUCUCUCUUCUUCUCCCCUGAAGAGCUGCCUCCUGGUUUCAUUUAUUUUCCACAGGAAACUGAAAAGAGCAACAUCUGUCUAAAUUCCCCCUAAGUUGCUCCAGAUUUCCAAGGUCAGAGUGUGGCCCCUAAGAGGCAGGGUCUCUGUGGGGUCAGAGGUGAUGGCCCCAGAAUUGGUGGGUUUGUGCCGAGUCCAGUGUGAUGGCAGGGUCUGGUGCAAGCUCCCUGCACAAUACAGAUGUUCAGCAAGAAUUUUGCUGGGAGCAUAAUCAGCGGCUGCGGCGUCCCCUGGAGAGGAGAGUGCAGGCCUGGUUCCCACGGGCUCCUUCCCAGUGCUCAAAUGUUCCUGAGUUCAUGUUCCUGGGAGAGGGGGCGGCCAAGCGAGUGCUCCAAGUCCCUGGCAGCUGCUCCUGCUGGGGAAGCCGAUCACCACUCUCCUCAUAUGGCCUUGGGACAUUGGACGUUGUUUGGUGCACAGAUGCACAAUCAUGGCAUUUGUUCAGGGAGCACUUUCUCUCCUGCCACAUUAUGGGAGGCAGCUUGGAGCUGAUCUAGGGAUUGGGUUCUGGUCCUUGGGAAAGUGGCUCCUUCUCUUUGAGGCUCAGUUUCCUCAUCUGUAAAACAAAGUGCCCCAGCCUAGGUGGCUCUGGGGGUGUGUGCAGACUGGGUGUGGACUUCAGAGUCAUGCAGAUGAAGCUGUGGUCCUCCCUGUGCUAUUUGGCUGUGUGUUCCUGUACAGGUCCCUGACAUUGUGGGCCACCAUGUCCUCAUCUGUGCCAAAUGGCCUCUGGCUUUGUGGACCCAGUGAUGACAGGAGCACCCACCCUCCAUGAGGAUGCUGAGGAAAAGGGUCUAUUUCCUCAUCUUGGGCAAAACAGCUUUAAGUCUGUGCCUGUGGGAACUAAGCAGAGUCAGUGCAAAAGAACUGGUCUUUGUCCCCCUAUCCACCCCCUGCCCCAAGUCUCCCCAGAACAACAGAAUAUUCUUCCUAAGCAAGACUGGUUGGCUCCUGAGAGUGUCCUCAGAAGCUGUGGAGUCCUGCCACCUGCUUCCCACCAUGUCUGUCCUCUCACUCUGGCAGUGUUCAGACCCUGAAUGGUCCCAGCCUGGCCUGCUCUGGUGCCUCCAGAGCCUGUCUUCUUCCCCAGUCCCGAACCAGGGAAAAGCAAGUGCUGUUUGUACAGAUGGUGUCAGCCUUCCUGUCCUGCUUGGAGGAUACCACCCCUCCCCAUGCUGAGCCUCCACAGGGAGGUUCCCAGGUCUGGAACACUUCUACCUCCUUCCAGCCUUCUGCUGUCUCCUCCUCUUUAAAAUGGGCCUGAGCAUCCCUGUUGUUCUGAGACAGGCUGGCACUUGCAGACAUCCUGUUGGUCCCCCUCAUCUCUCACAGUGCCUGGCUCUUUCUCUUCAGAGAAUCAUCAUGUUUGUACCCACAGUGGAUCUUGCGCUUAUUCCUUUGACUACUGACUCAAAAAUAUGUUAUAUAUGCGAGAAGGGCAGGGGUCACACUGGUUUCCUGUAUCCCCAUUGCUUUGUGUAUUGCCUGGUAAAUAGUUUCGAUGAAUAACUGUUGAACCUGUGAGAGAAGGACUCCCUCAGAGAAUCUAGAAUUUGGUGGCAAACAACCCCAGCAGGAAGGGAGGCACCCCAAAGCUUGUAUGGCACGUAGUCUUUGGUGCCAGCAUCUUGGGACCCGAUUCUGCCCUCACCCUCCAGGUUCUGGAAGGAUGAGCCAUUUUCCCCACAGCCCUGGGAGGAGAGUUUCCUCAGAAAGAGAGGAUGGACAUCGAGCUUCAAGUGUUUCUGGGAGGCUAAGGAAGAGGCAGACUGAGACGCAUCUGUGAGACUCAGUGCAGGGAGGUUAUGGUGACCUUGAUAAACAGUUUCAAAGGACUGAGGAUCAGAAAUCAGGCUGCAGGGGAGUGAGCAGGAGGCCAGGAAGUGGAGACUAUGAGUCUGAUAACUAUUUCUAGUUACUAGACCAAAAAUGGGAGGAGAGAUGACAGUAGCUGUUUCUGACCAAGCUGGAUCACAUCAAAACUAAUUGGGAAAUUUUCUGAAUAAUAAAAAUGAUUCAUGUACUAGAUGGCUAGAAGGAUAAGAUGCCUCAGCUUCUCAUCUUAAUUCUCACUGAAAACUAGGAUAUCAGAGUUGAAAGGACCUCAAAGGCCACAGGAUUCCAACACAGCCCUCUCAUUCAGUAUAGGAGAGGCCUGAGGCUCAGAGAGGGGCAGGGACCUGCCCAAGGUCACACACAGCAGAUAAAGGACAGAGCCUGCUGGAACUGAGGCCCCUGUAUGCCCAACCCAGGACUCUUUUUCCAUAUUCCACAUCUUUUUUUCCCCUCUGUCCUUUCUAAGCAGCCUUUAUUGGCUCCAGGAAAUGGAAAGGAUAAUUAUUUUUAGUUUAUUCAAAAUGAAUAAAAUGGGUAAUGGGUUUUUCUUUCCCAUAUAUCAGAUCCAAAGUGAGUCUUAUGUAAGAGCUGAGUGGAUGAGAAACGGUUUCACAGUGAGAACAAUGAUUCUUUUGAAUAUUACAAGCUCCAGGGUGAACCCCAAAUUAGCCUGAUGAUUGGGUUCAGCUCUCCUCCCCCAACUGACGGAAAAGACAGGGUAGAGUCACAUGCAUGUGUAUGUGUGUGAGUGAGGGGCAGGGAGGGGAGAGAGAGAGAGAGACAGAGAGAGACAGAGAACAUAUGUUCAGAGCAGGCUCUCUGCAGAGUGUUUCCCAGAGCACCAGGACAAAUGCCCUGACCCUGAACCUCCUCAGUGCUGAUUGUGAUUAUUAUUAUUAAUGGCAGUGAAUUGCAUAUAAGAUUUACCAUUAUAAUACUUUCUAAGUGCACACAUGGUUUUGUAGUUUUAAGCAUAUUCACAUUGUUGUGAAAUCAUCACCACCACCAUCUUCAGAACUCUUUUCAUCUUAUAGAACUGAAACUCUGAACCCAUUGAAUAAUAACUCCCUCUUCCCCCCAGCCCACUGCCACUUCUCUGGUUCCUGUCUCUAUGACUCUGAUUACUCAAGGUAACUCGUGUAAGUGAAAUCACAUAGAAUUUGUCCUUUCAUGACUGACAUGUCUCAUUUUCCAGACUUCUUUGAAUGUACUCCCCGUGUGCCCCACCUCACCAUUAGGAAUCCCCUGCUGAAGAGAGGCAGGCAUCCCUGGGAAGAAAGCACAUCAUGCUUUACUGAUACUUUUUCUUUAAUGCCAACUAGUAGAUGAUUUCUUGAGAGCAGGUUUUAAUGGAGUAUGGGUGACUAUAUUGAAAGCCUUGAUUGACUACGAGUAGGAAGAGGGAGAGAUAUUCAUAAUGGGAAAAAAAUCAUCAGGUUUGAAAAAAAUAUGGCUGGGGGCUGGGGAUUUAGCUCAGUGGUUCUGCCGCCUGCCUCGAAAGCACAAGGAGUGGACUUUGAUCCCCAGUACCAAAAAAUAUAUAUAUAUAUGGCUGGGAUCAUUACAAGUGACUCUGUGGUACAGCAAUUAGUUUUAUAACAGUCAUUUCCUAAAUUUAUGUCUUUGGGUCUAUUGACCUCAUAUCUUUCUCUGACUUAAUCCUUGGGGAGUUAUAACUGAGAUGCUCUCAAGAAACCUAGUGAUACUCAUAAAUAAUGAUCUUGUACUUGGGCUUCCUUCUACAAUUUAGGAGACUCUUUUAUUUCUAUUAUUUUAUUUGAUCCAAAUGACAAGAGUAGAUGGUAGUUAGAUAGGACUUAUCUCCAUUUUUCAGGAGGGGAAACAGGUUUAGCGGGCUGACAGGACCUGCUCAGGAUUAUAAAAAUCACUUACUGGUAAUGCUGGAUGGUGAACCCAAGUCUUUAGACCCAGGAUCUUUCUCAGCUCCAUAUUUUGCUAGCAUUUAUUAACUUAAAAUGCCUAAGGGUGUCAUGUAAUUGCACAUGUCUGGUUCUCUCCCACCACCUCCCUCUUAACUUCAGACCCAGUCCUUCUCCAAGAAUGAUGUGUCAUCAACCAGAUGCUCAAAUUAGAAAGUCCAGAGUUGUCCUUGACAUUUCCUUCUCCUGUUCCACAGCCAGUCUUCAAUCAAGUCCUGUGGUUUGUAAUUCCUAACUGUGCUUCAGUAUGCCCACUUCUCUGCAAUUCUGGGCCACCAGAGUGCAUGCCUCUGUCUCUUAUCUGGAGAUGAAGCUUCAUAUGGCUGUGAUGUCUAUUUCUUUGUUCUUUUCUUCUUCAGUGAUUUCUCAGGAAAUGUGAAUUUGAAUGACAUGGUGUUAAACAAGCUUUUGUGGUGUAGGAUUUCUCAGAGCCUUUUGCACACUAACAAUGAGCAGGAUGACUUGCCAACAUGGGGGAGUGUAUUUGGCAUGUCCCAAACUUAGGUGAUCAGUGUUGCACCUUGUUCUUUCUACCCAUCUGGUCUCUACAUGGACCUCUACUAACUGCAAGGCCCAUUAUGCUGCUUUCCCUCAUCCAUCCCUCCUGUCAUACUGGCCUUUUGAUUUCUCUGAGUGUCCUAGGAGGCUCCACUGGUGCCCUCCAGGUCCCCUUUGCUAAACUGGUGCACCCCCAUCCCUGGCCACAAGAGCUGCUGGCAGCUCACACUUCUGAGGAGCCACCUCACUAAAGAAUCCACAGCCCCCCACAGUCCAGAAGCAUCUUAUAAGCAAGUCUGACCUGGUGAAUGGGUUCACAGAGGGCCAUCCCACCCUUGCCUCCAGCAUAGAAAUCUGCUGUGCAAUUUGUGUCACCAAGCUACUGUACAGAGCAACAGGAUCAGACUGUCUUGGAGAUAACAUCCUUGUCCAACCCUCUCCUCUUCACUUCCUUGCCUUCCCCACUCCCUAGAGGUUUUUCCUAAAAGACACUUCCUGUCCCAGCAUCUGCUUUUCAGAAGCUCUACCUAGGAUAGGCGCCACACUCCUUAGCCACUGUAAGGGUCUCUUUUCAUGGUGUCAGACACCUUUGACUUCUCUCCUAAAGUAGGUCCUGUCUAUCACAGCAUGGGCUCUGUUUGUAAGAGUCCCCUCAUAUGAAUGACUAAGGUCUUCUCUCCAACCAAUAACUCCAGGAGGACCACCAUGUCUUUCUGUCCACUGCUCCAUCCCCCAUGCCUGAUAAGGAUUUAAGAUGUGUCGAAUCAAAGAGAGAAAACACCAUAGAUAUAUAGAAUGCAAAUGAAAAAAAUCUGUCAAAUAUGGCAGGCAGCAAGUUAAUAUCUAGAAUAUAUUAAAAGCAUUGGCAAACAAGAAGAGGCAAACAUGUUAAUGUAGAAAAGUAUAUGAGCAGACACAUCUCACAUGCACAUUCACACAUACACACCCACAAAUGGAGAUGAUCUCUAAACCUUUGGGAAAGUUUGUUUAUCAAAGAAUAGCAAAUUAAAACAAUAGCAAAAGAACUUUUCUUUUUUGACUGUUGCAUUGCCAAAGAUUUGUGUUUAUGAAAAGAUCAUCAUGGUGGAGGUAAAGAGCUAGUCAGGUGUUCUCAGAUGUAACUGGUGGCAGGAUAUGUUGGUACUGCCAUCAGAACAUGGUUCCCAGGGCAGAGUUUGUUUCUUUAUCCACCAGGUCCUCCAGUGCCCAGAACCCAGGGCUCUCCUGCACUCAAUUAACAUUUCUUGAACAAAUGGAAGGCAAGUUGUCAAUAUAGACAAUGAAACGCAAGUCUUUUAUAUCCCCCCAUCUGGUAACUCUACUUCCUAAAGAAACCCUUAGAAAUUAGAACAAAGGAUAUCGCUCACAUUCAUUUAUAAGCUCAGACACCUGGAAACAGGUUGUUUUCCACAGGCUGGCUACUAGUUUACUUAUGGUGUAUCCAUAUUAAGAAAUACAGCUGAUUAAAAUUAUAUAUCUGGAGAAUGUUAGAUUAUGUUAUUGAUAAAUACUGAAUAAAAAGAAUUUAAGACCCUAUAUACAGUAUAACCUCAAUCUUUGUAAGAAAAACAAUUUUUAAUGAUGAGUUGAAGGAGUUUUUCUGUGGUUUUUAUUUAUUUGUUUAUUUAUUUACUUUUGCUUUCCUCUUAUUUUCCAAAAUUUGAACAGUGAAUAUGUAUUACUUUUGUAGCCAAGGGGCAAAGCGGGGAGAAAGCUUUGAGAAAGAAAGUAUGGUUAAUGACAAAAUUUCAACCAGCCAGGAAAAGUGGUAAUGACUUAUAAUAGUGUUUUUCCUAUUAAUGCAUCAUAAUAGAUCAUUUCAUGGUGGGUAAGGAACAUUCCCCCUUAUUAAAUUGGCCUGACUUUAUUUAGACAACAAUGAGGAUUAAAUUUUGUGCCAUUGGAGACACUCUUGUUUUCGUGUUCUUAGUGUAUAUUUUUCCAUGACCUGGAAAAUCUUAAAAUACCGGCUCUACUUAAAAAAAAAUUUCACAACUCCUUUGACUGGAAUUGAUUUCUCCUGUGACUCUCAGGUCUGUAAAAGGCAUUAAGGUGAGACUUAGCAUUGACCUUUAUUCUUUGCCUGGAGUAGAGAAUUUCCCUAUGGCUGGCUCAGGAUUUCCAAGAGGAAGACAACUGAAUGACCUAGCACAAUUGCCUUGGUCCUCAGCUCUGGGCUUAUCUUGAUUAGGAGGAAGUGGAUGUCUCGUUCCAAAUUUAGAGCAUAGAAUAGAGCCAGAUGUUUGAGAUCAUCACAAACAUUGACCCAUUGGAACUUCUGCCCCACUCACCACUUCAUGGAUAUUUACUUCAUGGAUACCUGGUUUUGUUCACCUUGACAGAGUGAAGAGACCUUUGGGUUCUCUUCCCAGGAAUUCUGUCCUAGCCUCAACAUGCAUAAAAAAGUUCAUUUCCCUUCUGAGUAUUGAAAGGAGGCCCAACACACACCUCUUGGAACACUUGUUGGCUUCUACCAAAGUGUCCAUCCCCUCCAAGUGUAAGCCUAGGAUCUUGAGGCUGGUAGUCAAAGUCAAGGCCCUUUAGGAUCCCUCCCCUUUCUCCUACCCCAUGGUUUAUUCCACUACACAAAACAGCAGCACUUAAAGGAACUACAAACUUUCCUGUGUCUCCAGGGUACUCCUGGCAAGCCUUCUGAUUAUUAGUGUGCCUUUGAUCAUGGUUAGUCAUUAUAGAAAUGUCUCCAAGUAGUAGACUUGAAAGCAGGUUUUAUACCUGACUCGUUUCCUUGUCCCAAGGUCCAGCACAGGGCCAACUAUACUGUAGAUAUUUGGGAAGUGCUUGCUGAUUGAAUGAAUGAAUUUGAGAGCAUUGACAAUGAUAGGGAGUUGGGGGUUUCCUUUUCUGCCAUACUACAUAAUUUAUGAGACCAUACACUUUGCCGAUAAUUGGGUUCCUCUUGCUAGUUCCAUCUGCAGCCAUGAACGAGGCUACAUUUCUUCAUGGAUCAAGUGCCCACUUGAGGGGCCUAUCCUGCAUAGUCUUCAAUUUGUAAUAUUGUCAGAAGCGUCCUGAAAGGGUAAGGGCCUUGCCCUGGUGCUUGUCUUUUCCAUUUGUUUCCAUUUGCUUUUCACUGUGUGGGAGAUUAUUUAAUUGAAAGUGGAGUCUCUGAGGCCAGUGUUGCAACAGAAAUAAUUGAAUGUAAAACCACAUGUGCUUUUGGGACUGGGACACAGAAAUUUAAUUUUAGUUUCGUCACUGCUUUGUAGGGUGAUCUAGGGAUGUCGCCUCUCUGGAACUCAUCCAUGAAAUCCUGACUGUACGAGGUGGAAGUUGGAGUAGUUAGAUUGCUUAAUCUCCAAGGCUCCUUCCUGCUCUGAUAUACCUUGUCUAUAUUUCCACAAUAUCAGAUUGAUGGAGGGCUGACUAGCUUGGUGUUGCUGGAAAGCGAUGUGGAUGGAGUUCUGGGAGAGGAUCCCAGUCCGUGUGAGCUCAAGGUCAUCAUUUAGAAACCAAAAGCUCAAAAAUGCUCUGAAACCACAGAUGGCCAAAUUCUCCCACCAGAGGUUCAGUACAUUUUUGCUCAAAAUUGUAAACUAAAAGCAGAAGUUUUGGGGUUGUUGGCAGGAUUCAUGGCUAGCUCUAACCUGGGUGGUGGGUAUAGGGGUGGCUUAUUCAAGGGUAAGGCCUUGUCUGAGAGCCACAUCACUGAGUGAGAGGCAUGUCCUUGGCGAGCCCACCCUGGCCAUCAUGAUGUAAAUAUCCCUUGGGUGGGUCCUGCUCAGGUACUGUGUCUUAAUGACACUCUAAAACAGUUCUUUAAACUCACCACAUUAUAGACAAUGGCAGUCUAUUGAAGGGAGCUGAAACUCACUCCCAGUAGUGACUUGCAGCCUACACUUUCUGAAAAAAUUCAGACAUAACUCAAUACUUAAGUUUCAUCCUUUUAAGGUAAAUAAUUCUAUGCUAUGAAUGGUUUCUAGUAUAUUCACAAAGUUUUACAAUCUUACACUCUCAAAUUCCUGAGUAUUUUCAUCACUCCCCCAAAAAAUCCCCUAUACAUUGUCAGUCACUUCCUGUUGUACACUGCCCCUCAUCCCACCCCAGGGCCACUAAUCUACUUUCUGUCUCUGUGGAUUUGAUUUUUCUGGAGUUUUCAUAUAAAUGGAGUUUACAACACGUGGCUUAUUAGAUCUGGCUUCUUUCACUUGGAACAAUGCUUUCAAGAUUCAUCUAUAUAUUUUUGAACAGUUAAAAAUUAUGAGUGUGUGUGUGUGUGUGUGUGUGUAUCUGCGUGUAUCUGCCUUCAAGCAGCAUACAGGCAAAACCACUGUGAGCUUGGUGGGAUCUAUGGACCCCUCCUUAGCAGAACAGAUGGAGGACUAGCUGGCCUGUUCCAGAUCUUCUCUAUUUCAUUAUCCCAGUUCAGUUUUGGUCUUUUAAGAAUUACACAUAGGGCCGGGGAUUUAGCUCAGUGGUUCCACCGCCUGCCUCACAAGCACAAGGUCCCGAGUUUGAUCCCCAGUGCCAAAAAAAAAAAAAAGAAAAAAAGAAUUAUGCAGACAUUUUAAAUUAAGAAUUAAAUCCAUUGAUAUUUCCAUUUUUAUUCCAUCUAUGCUGGCAGAUUUAAAAGUCUUUUCCCAGCCCAAGAUGACUUAAACACAUAUAUAUUAUUUUCUUGUCAUACCUGUUUUCACUUCUUACUUUUAUAGUUUUAAUUUAUCUGUAAGUUUUGAAUAGUGUGAGGUAAGGACUUUAUUUUAUUUUCCUCAUAUUGUUAGCAAGUCGAAUCACCCUAUAUCUUUUAAAAUUGAUUUAGAAACAAUAGUAUUAGUAUUGCUACUUUUUAUAUGCUGGCCUUUCUUUUCUGUACUAACCUGCUCUUUUUUCAGCUGCUAGCAUACUUAUAAAUUUCUUGCUGUUUAUGACACAAUUCAAUAUUGUUAGGAUGAGUUCAUAUUAUCACUCAUUUUUUAAAAAUCCCUGGUUAUUAUCAAAUGUAUGUUAUUUAAUUUGCUUUAUUUGUUAGUGUGAUGUGUUUAUUUUAUGUAACAUGUAUUGCUACAUUAAGUAAGAAUUUUUAAUUCUGCUUGGGCUAAUGGAAGCCAGUGGCUGUAUGACACGUCACAGAUAAAGUUAGUAGAAUAUAUGUGGACUGAUCAUAGAUGGAAAGGAUGGGAGGACCAAGAAAGGCCAGGUGUGGUCCUGCACACCUGUAAUCCCAGCACUCAGGAGGCUGAGGCAGGAGGAUCACCAUGAGUUUGAGGCCAGACUGGGCUACACAGUGAGUUCAAGGCCAGCUUGAACUCCAAGCUGGUUUUUUGAGGCUCUGUCUCAAAAAACCAAAAGAAAAAAAGGAAAGUACUAAAGAUAUGUAAGCCUUGAGACACUGAAUAUUUGUGACAGCUACAGCAUCCAUAGAUCAGCUCUGGCUGCCACCACAGAUCCUAAGGACGAGCACCACCUCUGUGAUGCUCUGUGAUGUGCCAGAGAACCACAAAGCCCUAGAAUCUGACAUCUUGAGGAGAUGCCACAAGCCCAGGCCCCCUGCUCCAACUGGGCAAGACUAGAAUGAAACUGAACAAGACCCUAACUAAUAUCAUACGCAUGCCAUUUUUUGUAUUUGGUUGACUGAGUCAGAAUUUGCAGGUUAAUAGUGUUGACGAGAGCGAACAUCCUUCUGGUUACUAAUGACAAUGGGAAUGCUGCCCAUAUCUCACAUUCGGCUUCCUGCUGGACUUGGCUUUACAUACAGUACAUUUGUCACUUUAAAAAAAUGUAUUCUUUUUUCCUCUUCUCUUGAUGGUGAUGAUGGAAUGUUGCAUUUCCUCAGAUGAUUUUUGUCAUCCAUCGAAAACAAUUAUAUGGUACUUCUCCUUUGGCAUACUCACAUGAUGAAUUAUAUUAAAGUUGAAACAUAUGUGCAACUUCAGUUUUGUUUUCCAUCUUUCUCUUCUUCACACAGAAGCUUCAUUGUGGUCCUGGGCUCUCUUCAACUCUCCUUUCAUCCUUUUAUCUCUUUGGCCUGUUAUUCUGAGUUCUGGGAGAUUUCUUUACAUUUGUCUUCUGACUUCUUGUUCCUCAAAGUCUGGACCUGGGACAGGCAGUCUCGACAGCAUCUGGAAGUUUGUUAGACAUGAAAAUUCUUGGGUCACACCCCAGACCUGCUGAGCCUGCAUCUGGAUUCUAAUGAGAUUCCCAGGUGACCAUCAGGUGACCUGGGUACACAGUGAGCUGGGAGGUGAGUGAGAGUCUGAUGGAAGAGGAGGCCCUUCCAGUCCCAGUGGUGAUGCAGAGCCUCCCACUAUUAUAGCAGUUGGAUUAUUCUAGUGGAAAAUUGGGAGGAGAUGCAGUUCAGCAGAAGGUUUUGAACCCCCAUCCAGGAAUGGAACCCACAUGCUCUUUGUGGCAGGACACCAGGGUGGGCAGCUGGUGCAGUGUGUGAUGAAAUCAAAUGAAAAAGACAGCCCAAAGUUUAUCAAAAUCUUCACAGGUGGCAUUAGUCCGACAAGAAAUAAUCCCUGUGUUACAUUUCUGAAGGGCCGUCUAUAUCCCCCCCAUGGGCCUCACCCAUACUCAUUUCUUUGACAGAUUUACAAAUGUCAAUUGCAUUUGUAUGAAAGCCUCUUGUCCUGAGCAGAUAGAGAGGACCAAAGAGAUUCUGAUAGAGCUGUUUGGUGUCAGAAGAAACUGGUGAGGUCGCUGAGAUGGAUGUGCUUCUUUUUCCCAGACCUGUGCCUGGGCUAAGAGAGGUAGUCAAGGGCCCGGAUUCCAUGAGCCAUUGCAUAUGGAGAGAUGCCAUCUUUUGCUGCAAUUUUUACUUUUUAUUAGUACACACUGGGAGGACGUAAUAAUCAUUCCUCGUGUGGAGGUGGUGCAGGUGCAUAACACGAUUCAGUUCUUUCUUCAGCCCCUUCCUCCCUCUCUGCCCCUUCUUCCAUCUCUUGGUCUCCUUCCCAUUGGCAAGUUUCUCUCUCUAUUUCCUAUGGUCUAUUUUUUAUUUUGCUCUUUAUUUAAAUUUGGGUUUCUCAUAUAAAAAUCAUGCGAUAUUUAAGCUCGUGUGUCUUGAUUUGUUUCACUUAAUAGUAUGGUCUCAAGGUGCAUCCACUUUCCUGCAGAUGACUCAGGUUUAGCCUUCUUAUACAAAAUGGAGAUGUGGGGCCCAGGGUUUAGCUCAGUGGUUCUGCUGCCUGCCUCACAGUGCAAGGUCCUGAGUACGUCCCUGUACCCCCCCCCCCCCCAAAAUGGAGAUGCAGUCUUUUAGGGAAAAAAUCAAAUUGGAUAUAUCCAGCUCUCAUCAGUUGUGGCAGGAAAACAAUCUUGGGAAGGCACAAAAAGCUACAGAAGUGAUUCUAAAGAGAAAAAGAAUCUGUAGGAUAAAUUGGCUUGUUCUUUGUUUAUUGCUACCAAACCCUUUACUCCCGGAGGAAUGUUGAAACAAUACCAAUGCAGAGCUCUUUUUAUGGAACUGGAAAACAUCCUACUUUUUAAAAUGGUUUCGUGAAGUUGUUGUCUCAACAGGAAAUUCUGGCCAUUGUCACACAUUCUUUUUGUUUAUUAUUAGUAAUAAUAACCCUUUGCAUCUUGUCAGGCUCUAAAUCUUAACAGCCUUUCCACACAAAGCAGGCAAGCUCCUUCCUGACAAUGACACGAGUGUAGCAGGGCAAGCAGCAUUAAUGUGCCCAUUUCAUGGACAGUGGUACUGAGGCCCAGAGGAGUGAAUGGACUUUCUCGAGGGCACAGUAUGCAGUCAAUGACCGCUGUAAGCUCAGACUUGUGUUUUCUCCCUGUAGGAGAGAUUUCUAUUAAACACACUUGGCCACGUAUCUUUAAUCCUUAAUCUUUUCACUCCAGUUAUCUGGCCUUUCUGCAGUGCCUGUGCCCAGAUCAAACAGUAAGCAGGGUCAUAACCCACAUGUAAAGAUGGCUCUCUGAAGUUUUAUGCCAAACACAAUGUGUGACUUUGGUAGUGUCCCUUUCUUCAGAUUAAAGUGGUCACUCAUCUCAGGCUCCCUGUACCUUGGCUGUGUAAAUCUGCUCCUAUGAAUCACACACCUUCAUUAAGCUUCUGCGAAGGAUCUACUGAAGCCCCCAUUAGGCAUGAUUCAUUAUAGAUCAGGAAGAACUGUUUAUGUUUGUUAUUUCCUAAGUUUGAUUUAUCUCACUUAUGGGGUGGAGGAAAGGCACUUUAUUCUGCUUUCUGUGCUUCUACUCCUUAUAUUUCCACACCAAACACCCCAAAUUUCCCCUUUUGUUCCCUUUAUUCUCCCAGCGCAAUGUAUAUGUUCUCUCUACCUAGAAUACCUUUGCCUUCUUCAUCUUCACCACCUUCUUCACCCUUCUUAUCCUUAAAGAAAUCCAGCUCCAAAGAGAGUCCUCUGUGAAGCCUUUCAGACUCAAUGUUACAAAUACUUGUUUUCCUAAAAGCAAGCUGAAUACAUCUCUGCCAUACCAUGAUCCUAUCACAGUGAGAAACCCGUUUCAUGUAGCUCCAUAUGUACUUGGAGUUUCCACUAGAUUGGGAACUACUUUGGGGCAGGAAUAACACCUUAUUCCUCUUUACAGCCCCUGAGCUUGAGACCUUGCAACUGACGAAAAUUCUCUAAGGGUUGAUCUAAGUUCCACUCCUGGGUAGUUUUAGUGCAUCAGUAUUUUUUGUUUUACAACUAGAUAUCACUUUAGUUUCUCAGAUUAGUUGAUGGGAAAGUCUUGUAGGGGACUAUUCACUAAACUUAGCUCCUUGAUUUAUCAUAGAUGCUGUUCCUUUAUGUCUCUCUGGUUGGAUCCCUUUUGGUGUACAGCUCCUUUGUUAACAUUCUUCAUGACUUUGUCCAGAACUAUCACAUCUGGAGGGAUUCUGAAUUUUCUUUGCUACUAGGGUAUUUUUUUUCUCCCAGCUUCUUCACAUUUCAGCAGUUAAUAUUCAAUAGUUCUCAACCUUGGCUGUAUAUUGGUGUUACUUAGGAAGCUUUAAAAAUACUUAUUUGAAAUUUACACGGAGUAUCUUUAUGUCUUUCAUGGAAUAUUAAGCUGCAUACUCACAGGGUAAGAUUCUGAGAGAUUUGGCAAGGAACAGCUAUAGGAAGACAGCAAACCUAAGAGAUUUUGUAGUCUCACAGGGAUGACAAAUGUUGGAAGUGUGACUAGCCAUAUUAGGUACAUCUCAUUGCAUGCCCUGGACAUUUAAAUGAGACCCCCAGAAAGGCCAUGUCUUAUUAUCUUUAAAAUAAAACUAAUUUCCCACUAGAGAAAAGCCAUGAUGUUCUUUGAAGGAAGAUAUAACACAAUCCAGGUUCUCAACAUUCUGUCUGCAAAGUCCAACAAACAAACACAAAAUAUUAGAAACAUGAAGAAGAAAGGAAAUGUGCACCAAACUGGAAGAAACAAUCAGUAAAAACAGAACCGGAUAUGACACAGAUGAUGGAAUUAGUAGACAAGGACUUUAAAAUAGCUUUAGCAAUAUGUUCACUUACUUGAAGAAAGAGAAUGAGUGCACAGAUGAGGGAAUAUCAACAGAGAAAUGGAAAUAAUAAAAAAGAACAAGUAGAUAUUCUAGACAUAAAAAGAUAAUAUCUGAAAUUUUAAAAUUUCACUAAAUUGGAUAACAGCAGAUAAGAUGCUGCAGAAUGAAUGCAGAGCAAUGGAAAAGGUAAAAAUAUGGGCACAUUUACAGAUUUUUUUUUCUCAGUACCUCAGUUGGGUUAUCACAACCAUAGUCAAUAGUCAUGAAUUAUGUUGAUAGUUGGCGCCUUUGAUUCAAUAUGAUGAGAAUGGCACUUCACCUCUGUGGUCUUCCUCCCCCAAACCUAUAACCCCAGUCUGACCUUGAGAGAGACAGACAAAUCUCAACUGGCAUUUCUUACAGAAUACCUAGUACUCUCAGACUUGCUAAGACAACAAGGAGGAAAAAAACCCAAAAGAAGGAAAGUCUGAGAAACCAUCAUAACAAAGAGGAAUCUGUGGAGACAUGACAGCUAAAUACAAUGUGGAGUCAUGGGGUGGAAUUCUGGAACAGAAAAAGAACAUUGGGUAAAAACUAGAGAAAUCUGAAUAAAGAAUAGGCUUUAGUUAAAAAUAAUGUUAAUUAAUUGUAACAAAUGUACCAUAUCAGUAUAAAAUGUUAAUAGUAAGGGAAACUGGGUUUAGGAUGUAUGCAAACUCCUAUGUUUGCAAUUUUUCUGUAAAUCUAUAACUUUUAAAAUAAAGAGUUUAAGAAAAUAAACUAACAAUAACAAGUGCUGUCAAACAUGGAGCAAAUGGAAUUCUCACUCAUUGCUGGUAGGAAUAUAAAAUGAGAUAGUUCAGAAAACAGUUUGAAAGUUUCUUGCAAAGUUAUACAUGUGUUUAUCUUUAUCAUGUAAUUGUGUAAUCCACCAGUGUCACUCUUGCAUCUUUAGCCAAGAGAAAUGAAAACAUAUGUCCUCAAAAAGACUUGUUUAGAGAGGCUGUAUUCAGAAUCAUCACAAACUGGAAACAACCAAAAUGUCCAUCCACUGCUGCAUAAAUAAAGUCUGUACAUUCAUACAAUGGAAUACAAUUAAGCAAUGAAAAAAAAUUAUAUCAUACAAAACAUGGAGGAAUCUCAAAAGGACUAUGCCAUGUAAAAGGAGUCAGAAACAAAAGAGAUCAUACAGUAUCAUUUUAUGUAUAGGCAAUUCUAGAACAAAUAAAGCUAAUCUUAGGUAGAAGAUAUUAGAGCAAUGGUUGGAUUUUGAGCUCCAAUAUCUGAGGAUGGGAAUUAUUAGGAAGAAGGAGGAGAGAUUUCUUGAAGUGAGAGAAAUGUUUUGUAUCAUGGUAAAGGUGUGAGUUACAUGGAUAAAUGCACUUGUCAAAACAUAUCAGGAUGCAUACUUAAAUCUAUUAAUUUCAAAGGACUAUGAGAAUAUCUCAGUCUUUAAAGAGAAGGUCAAAUUGCUGAAUGCUGGGAUUCUCAUUUAAUGAUUGCAGGCAUAGGCUUUGGGAUUUUUAAGUCAGAGUCUGGUAUCAGUGAAAUCUUACAGAGUCACAUCCUAAGUGGAUUAGGUUCAAAAUUCAACACAUACUAGGAAAUCUGCUUAUGUUCAAAACACUUUGAAAACCCUUCAGGACUAUGUACACAAUGUCAUGUGAUGUCAAACAGUAGUUCUAUGCACACUAGAAAUUCAGGACCACUGAAAUAGACUAAAGAGAGAAACAAGUCAUUCUCCCUGCAAAUAUCUGGGCAUAUUCUGUUUUUAAAAUCACUAGCAAGUCCCUAGUGGGGAUUAGCAGGGGUGAAGGAUUCCAAAGUUUCUCCUUACUUGCAAGGUUCUCUCUAUUAUAUUUAGAACAUUGAGUCUCUAUGUGGUUGGUGUUAGUUCUGUGCAUUAAUAUUUCUGAUUAUUUUCCAUCUGAGCAUACAAUAGGAUUGUAUGUCCCUGUUCUGGCCAGUGAAAUGGUAAGUGACAUUCAUUACUGCUAGGCAGAAGCAUUAAAGUGCUACAAAGGAUUCCUCAUCAUCUUUUCUCUCUACUGCAAUUACCAACAAAAUUCCAGAAGAUGAACAUUGAGUUUCUAAGAACUCGUGUGGUCAGAGACUCUAGCAACCUACAAGAGACAUGGAACACGAAUGAGAAGUAAACCUUUGCUGUUAUAAGCCAUUCGUAUUUGGAGUUGUUAUUGCAGCAAAACUCAGCCUAACCUGACUAACUUAAAAACCUUCAUACGUAUGAAUAUACAUAUGCUUCUUGUUGUGAAGACUUUUAAAAAGUGGAAUUACAUCUGAGAGGCAGAGGAGAGUUCUAAAGCAAGCUGGCAAGUUAGAUGAGGAUGAUGCAACCUCACUGUAAUUAUACCCUACCUUGCCUAUUUCCAAGCAGAAUCUGUGGCAGCUUAGCAAAUCCAAAUACACACUGGCACACACAGUAACUAAAAUAACAAUGGGAGGGAUAUGAAUCCACUCAAGGAAAAUGGGAAAAGGGUUGUACCUAAAAGUUUUGCCAAAAGCCACGAAUGAAAGAUUGAAUCAUGGAUCGGGGAAGACAUUUAGGUAGUAAAAGAAAUUUUUGGUACCAAAAGGCUUCAGAUGAGAAGACUGGGAGAGAGGAGACGAAUGUUUAUGCAGUGCCUUGUGUGUACCUUAAACUGUGUUAUAUACAUUGAAAAUCUAAUGUCUUUUUCAUUCUCAUUAAAACUCAGUGAAGUAGAAACAGGCUCAGAGAAACAGAAUAAGCUCUCUAAAGUCACAGUGGAAGAGCAAGGAUUCAGAUCCAUUGGUGCUCAUCUUGGAGUGACAGGACGCUGAGUUUGGCAGGAUGCACUCACCACCAUUUGCUUCAGGCGUGGCUGCAAUUUAACAUGGCAACAAGCUAGCACUGAAGUCCUAAGAGUUCAGAUGUAAAGGUUUGAUGGAGAGGCCCAAGGUAUUCAGAAGGUCUGUCCCACGCAGAAUAGACUUCCUGUUCUGUCCCAAGGGUCCAGGGCUCCUUGGUAGUGUCCUUCUUUCUUGUCCUUGCAUUCCAGGCCCAGAUGCAAACAGCUGUGUGUUUCCUCCACCCUGUGGUGACUCAUACUGGGACAAAAAAGCUACUUCUUUGCUUGAUUCCCUGUCCCCAAAUCCUAAUCUGGGGGAAGCAGCCUUAAACUCCCUGAACACAAGACCCUGUCUGGGUGGCUGGCGCAUGAAAAGGUGGGGUUGUUCUGAUGCUGUCCCGAGAGAGCGGGGUCCAGAACAAAGAGGAGAUUCAGGCUGGAGAAUAUUUUCUCUCUGGCAAAGCUCCUGUGGCCAUCUGGUAGAGGGGCUGUUAUUCAAACCUCUGGAUCGUGGUCUGUUUGUUUUUUAGGAGUUUGCAGCUGAUUAUGUUCAUCAAAAUCCCUACAACCAACUGUGCUCCCUGGCUUCUUUCACAGGCAAACCUGUGGAGCCAACACAUCCUCUGGACUUGGUUUGCAGGUCUUUUGCAGGGAACCAACACCAUCACUCUUCUCCUAGAAACAAGAGGCUCUAGGCCGGGACAAGGCCUAUCACUUCUGGACAUCUAGACCAGCCACCAAAUGGUCUAGCUGACUCAACCUGGGAAGCUGGGACAAAGAAGGGGAAUCAGGAAAAUCAGAAACUCCUGUGGCCAGGCAAGCUCCAGUGACCAAGGUGUGAUCAUCCCAGCGCUGAAAAGAUCACACCAACCCUGUGUCUCCCACACCAACCGAAGUGUCCCCACUGUGCAAGAAGUUGGGGUGUAAAGACCUCAGAGAGAACUAAGUUGGAGUUCAGAUCCAAACUCCAUUUCUUCUGUAACAUGGCAACUGAGUUUCUGUUCAUUCCUUUGGAGAUUGAGGACAUAACACCUUAUCUCCCUGGGCUGUCGUAUGUUCAUAAUGUUCACAAUAAUGUAUGUGAAAGGCCUGAGACCGUAUCUGUACCUAGCAGAUUCUCAAUAAGUAUUGUUAACUUCU